Molecule: long non-coding RNA, 1326 nt
Organism: Galeopterus variegatus (Sunda flying lemur)
Lineage: Eukaryota; Metazoa; Chordata; Mammalia; Dermoptera; Cynocephalidae
Exons: 3
Source: RefSeq, a predicted model, not a curated record
UUGCUUCUUAGCCUUGGCAGAAAAGGCAUGGCAGUUUUUCCACUAUGGGAGAAAAUAAAAGAAAACUCCUCUGAACUUGACAUGAUAGCUGUUGUUUAAAGGAGAGAACAAAUCUACCAGAACUGCACAAGAAGGUCCAAGGCUUUCCUCAGAUAUCUUGUAGUCUUUGUAUUUGAAAAUAUUUAAGAGUGAGACACUAAAACAUUGGCUGGAAGCUCGGAGGAUAUGAGAGCUGGUCUGGUCUGAUGUGAGCUUCACUGCAGGAACAUCAGGGCUAUUCUCCACAGAGCUGAUGUGCGAAUUUGAUAAAUCCACAAUCAUAAUGAGACAUUUCUGACAAGCCUCUUUUGAAAACUGACUUCGUGCAGACAAGAAUAGUCAUAUGGAUAAGGAAGAAUUUACCUCAUUGUGUGGAUACCGCAAUUAACAAACUAAAUUGGAUGAAUAUACCUGGAAUACUACACACACAAAAAAAUAGAGAAUAUGCAACAACACUUGGAAUAUUUACAAAAAUUGGCUAUGUCCUAUGCCACAAAGUGAGUCUCAACAAAUACCAAAUAAUCAUCAUAUAGACCAUAUUCUUUGAUCACAAUAUCGUAAAAUUACAAAUCAGUUAAAAAAAGAUAGUUAACACCCCAUGCUGUUUUUCCCCUACUUGUCCCCUUAUAAACAGGAAUUAUAAUUCUCAGGCUCCCCUGGGCUCUGGCAUCCAGGUAGCCUCUGCCAACGGGAUAUACCGAUAGCACUGACCAUAAAUUGGGGAGGCAGAGGGCAAAAGGUAGGAUGUUUCCCACUUCCUGUGGAUUGCCACUCUUGGCUCCCAGCUUCUGUUGGGAAGUCCCCACUUUGGCUCUAACUCAUUCCAGAUGGCCCAGCUUGAAGCUCAGGUAAGACCACCUCCUUCCAUUGUCCCUCCAGACUUGAGUGGUAAAGUCUUCCUGCUGAUGCUACUCUCUGGGUUGCCUCAGUGUGCCCAGGUGACUUCUGAGCUUCUUCAUUACCAUGAAAUUAAAUCUCUGUAUUAAAUUCCCCUCCAGUUGAAAACACACACAUAUAUCUCAACUGAUGUAACCUCUCAUGCAUUUACAAAUUACAUCUAAAAUUUCAAGGGUCAGUAUUUAGAAAUAAGUAACGCAAACUGCAUAUCAACAUUUUGGAUGCAGGUAGAGUAUUCCUUACAGGGAAAUUCUUAUCCCAAAAAGUGAGUUCUGAUUUUGAGCCUCUUCCUAGUUUUGCUGACUUGCCUGUGCUAUAUUCACCAGUCCAAUUUUUUUUUCCUUUCUUUCACCAAUUCUGUAUAAUUUCUUGAUUUUUGAAGCAUCUGUA